Molecule: long non-coding RNA, 986 nt
Organism: Oncorhynchus tshawytscha (Chinook salmon)
Lineage: Eukaryota; Metazoa; Chordata; Actinopteri; Salmoniformes; Salmonidae
Source: Ensembl
GUACACAGUAUCAUUCCCAGCUUGAUUUCAGUCAAUUUUAUCUAAAGUAUUGAGCCAGCCAGGAGUCGAACCUAGAAUCUUCUGAUCCGUAGUCAGACACGUUAAGACACGUUAAAAAGUAUUUUAAAUUAUGAAUCUACAAAACAUAUCACAUUUCCUGUUGCUGAGGGAAUAUUGUUGUGUUGUGUGAUUCUGCUGCCAUUUAAAAUGCAGUAUCUGUGGUUACACAAGUGCGUCCAAAAUAACAAGAUAUUCUUUCCCAUACCGGGAGUUGAACCCGGGCCACCUGGGUGAAAACCAGGAAUCCUAACCGCUAGACCAUAUGGGAAGACACAUACUUAAAAUACACAUCACAGACAAAUCUAUAAAUGUUGACAUUUUGCCUGUCUGAUUUAAAAGCUCCCAUCUUUUUUCUCAGAGAUGUUGGGGAAUGUCCAGAUGAAAUCCGUCUAAAAUGUGUUUGAAGUGAGAACCUCCAGAAGCACUGAAAGGUAUACAGUAUCAAUCCCUGCUUGAUUUCAAUCAUUAAAAUUAAGUAUCGAGCCAGCCAGGAGUCGAACCUAGAAUCUUCUGAUCCGUAGUCAGACACGUUAUCCAUUGCGCCACUGGCCCCAGGUUUAAGCUGAAGUCAGGUCACAGCUAGACCAGUGUACACAGUCAUAGCGUCUGUCAACAACAAGGUUCCUUGGGAUUUCUGUUACAGAUGCAUAUCUUAAUUUGAUCCUCCUGUUGUUGCAUGAAUUUUACUGCAGAGCAAGAAAUGCAGCCAUGAAGUGUAUUCAACGUUUAAAAAGCCUUGUAUAAUUUGAAUCUACAUAACAUGUCACAUUUCCUGUUGCUGAGGGAAUAUUGUUGUGUUGUGUGAAACUGCUGCCAGUUAAGAAAAUUCUCAGAGAUGAUGGGGAAUGUCCAGAUGAAAUCCGUCUUAAAUGUGCUUGAAGUGAGAACAGCCAGAAGCACUGAAAGGUAUACAGUAUCAUUCCCAG